RNAcentral lists this unclassified non-coding RNA (25 nucleotides) under Mus musculus (house mouse). RNAcentral describes it as "oocyte_clustered_small_RNA7235". Lineage: Eukaryota; Metazoa; Chordata; Mammalia; Rodentia; Muridae. The record is from RNAcentral.
UUGGUACAGACUGUGUCAAGGCUCC